UACGUAGGGUGCGAGCGUUAAUCGGAAUUACUGGGCGUAAAGCGUGCGCAGGCGGCGACAUAAGACAGAUGUGAAAUCCCCGGGCUUAACCUGGGAACUGCGUUUGUGACUGUGUUGCUAGAGUGCGGCAGAGGGGGGUGGAAUUCCACGUGUAGCAGUGAAAUGCGUAGAGAUGUGGAGGAACACCGAUGGCGAAGGCAGCCCCCUGGGCCAAUACUGACGCUCAUGCACGAAAGCGUGGGUAGCAAACAGGAUUAGAUACCCGUGUAGU
This 271-nucleotide ribosomal RNA is filed under the name uncultured bacterium. Its description in RNAcentral is "partial 16S ribosomal RNA". It matches the Rfam family "Bacterial small subunit ribosomal RNA", at positions 524 to 794 of the family's 1533-position model. The record is from RNAcentral.